Molecule: ribosomal RNA, 530 nt
Filed under: uncultured bacterium
Lineage: Bacteria
Description: bacterial SSU rRNA
Rfam family: Bacterial small subunit ribosomal RNA
Source: RNAcentral
UCUUGACAUCCACGGAAUUUAGCAGAGAUGCUUUAGUGCCUUCGGGAACCGUGAGACAGGUGCUGCAUGGCUGUCGUCAGCUCGUGUUGUGAAAUGUUGGGUUAAGUCCCGNAACGAGCGCAACCCUUAUCCUUUGUUGCCAGCGGUUCGGCCGGGAACUCAAAGGAGACUGCCAGUGAUAAACUGGAGGAAGGUGGGGAUGACGUCAAGUCAUCAUGGCCCUUACGAGUAGGGCUACACACGUGCUACAAUGGCGUAUACAAAGAGAAGCGACCUCGCGAGAGCAAGCGGACCUCAUAAAGUACGUCGUAGUCCGGAUUGGAGUCUGCAACUCGACUCCAUGAAGUCGGAAUCGCUAGUAAUCGUGGAUCAGAAUGCUACGGUGAAUACGUUCCCGGGCCUUGUACACACCGCCCGUCACACCAUGGGAGUGGGUUGCAAAAGAAGUAGGUAGCUUAACCUUCGGGAGGGCGCUUACCACUUUGUGAUUCAUGACUGGGGUGAAGUCGUAACAAGGUAGGCGUAGAUGA